GACGAACGCGGCGGCGUGCCUAAUACAUGCGAGUAGAACGCUGAAGGAGGAGCUUGCUUCUCCGGAUGAGUUGCGAACGGGUGAGUAACGCGUAGGUAACCUGCCUGGUAGCGGGGGAUAACUAUUGGAAACGAUAGCUAAUACCGCAUAAUAGUAGAUGUUGCAUGACAUUUGCUUAAAAGGUGCAAUUGCAUCACUACCAGAUGGACCUGCGUUGUAUUAGCUAGUUGGUGGGGUAACGGCUCACCAAGGCGACGAUACAUAGCCGACCUGAGAGGGUGAUCGGCCACACUGGGACUGAGACACGGCCCAGACUCCUACGGGAGGCAGCAGUAGGGAAUCUUCGGCAAUGGACGGAAGUCUGACCGAGCAACGCCGCCUGAGUGAAGAAGGUUUUCGGAUGUAAAGCUCUGUUGUAAGAGAAGAACGGGUGUGAGAAG
RNAcentral lists this ribosomal RNA (440 nucleotides) under Streptococcus mitis. Its description in RNAcentral is "bacterial SSU rRNA". It matches the Rfam family "Bacterial small subunit ribosomal RNA", at positions 28 to 462 of the family's 1533-position model. The record is from RNAcentral. Lineage: Bacteria; Bacillati; Bacillota; Bacilli; Lactobacillales; Streptococcaceae.